Regulatory RNA element from Enterococcus faecalis V583, 233 nucleotides. It matches the Rfam family "T-box leader". From Rfam's summary of the family: Uncharged tRNA acts as the effector for transcription antitermination of genes in the T-box leader family. T-boxes are found upstream of many aminoacyl-tRNA synthetase genes and some amino acid biosynthetic genes usually in Gram-positive bacteria. The record is from Rfam. Lineage: Bacteria; Bacillati; Bacillota; Bacilli; Lactobacillales; Enterococcaceae.
UGAAAAACAGAGAACAGAAGAGUAACUGUUUCCUUUAGUGAAGAGAGUCUUUGGUUGGUGGAAAAAGACGUAAAGAAACAGCGAACCACAUCUGGGAGUUGACUUUUUGAACCCUUAGUAGGAAAGUCCGGGACCACUCGUUAACAGGCGAAGUUAUGAACUUCAUAAGGUUCGUGUUGCGAAACACGAAUAAACUAAGGUGGAACCACGAUAAUUGAUUAUUCGUCCUUUGG